CCUACGGGUGGCAGCAGUGGGGAAUAUUGCACAAUGGGGGGAACCCUGAUGCAGCGACGCCGCGGGAGUGAAGAAGUAUUUCGGUAUGUAAAGCUCUAUCAGCAAGGAAGAAAAUGACGGUACCUGACUAAGAAGCCCCGGCUAACUACGUGCCAGCAGCCGCUGUAAUACGUAGGGGGCAAGCGUUAUCGGGAUUUACUGGGUUGACAGGGAGCGCAGACGGCGGUGCAAGUCUGGAGUUAAGGGCGGGGGCCCAACCCCAGGACUGCUCUGGAAACUGUAAAGGGGGAGUGCAGGAGAGGUAAGCGGAAUUGCUAGGUUAGCAGUGAAAUGCGGAGAUAUUAGGAGGAACACCAGUGGCGAAGGCGGCUUACUGGACUGCAACUGACGUUGAGGCUCGAAAGCGUGGGGAGCAAACAGGAUUAGAUACCCGUGUAGUC
This 440-nucleotide ribosomal RNA is filed under the name uncultured bacterium. RNAcentral describes it as "partial 16S ribosomal RNA". It matches the Rfam family "Bacterial small subunit ribosomal RNA", at positions 338 to 795 of the family's 1533-position model. The record is from RNAcentral.